GCAUAUCAAUAAGCGGAGGAAAAGAACCAACAGGGAUUGCCUCAGUAACGGCGAGUGAAGCGGCAACAGCUCAAAUUUGAAAUCUGGCCUUCUACGGGGUCCGAGUUGUAAUUUGUAGAGGAUGCUUCGGUGUUGGCCCCGGCCUAAGUUCCUUGGAACAGGACGUCGCAGAGGGUGAGAAUCCCGUACGCGGCCGGUGUCCCUCGCCAUGUGAAGCUCCUUCGACGAGUCGAGUUGUUUGGGAAUGCAGCUCUAAAUGGGAGGUAAAUUUCUUCUAAAGCUAAAUACCGGCCAGAGACCGAUAGCGCACAAGUAGAGUGAUCGAAAGAUGAAAAGCACUUUGGAAAGAGAGUCAAAAAGUACGUGAAAUUGUUGAAAGGGAAGCGCUUGCAACCAGACCUGCCCGCGGUCGCUCAUCCAGGCUCCUGCCUGGUGCACUCUUCCGCGGUCAGGCCAGCAUCGGUUCGGGCGGUCGGACAAAGACGGUGGGAAUGUGGCUCCUCUCGGGGAGUGUUAUAGCCCGCCGUGCAAUGCGGCCAGUCCGGACCGAGGUCCGCGCUUCGGCUAGGAUGCUGGCGUAAUGGUUGUAAGCGGCCCGUCUUGAAACACGGACCAAGGAGUCUAACAUCUGUGCGAGUGUUUGGGUGUCAAGCCCGGACGCGUAAUGAAAGUGAACGGAGGCGGGAACCCUAGGGUGCACCGUCGACCGAUCCUGAUGUCUUCGGAUGGAUUUGAGUAAGAGCAUAGCUGUUGGGACCCGAAAGAUGGUGAACUAUGCCUGAAUAGGGUGAAGCCAGAGGAAACUCUGGUGGAGGCUCGCAGCGGUUCUGACGUGCAAAUCGAUCGUCAAAUUUGGGCAUAGGGGCGAAAGUAGGUUUAAAUAUUCACUGUGCUAUUAGAAUUCAAUGCUAACAAUUCUUCUAGGACUAAUCGAACUAUCUAGUAGCUGGUUCCUGCGA
This 959-nucleotide ribosomal RNA is filed under the name Hysterium pulicare. RNAcentral's name for it is "LSU rRNA". It matches the Rfam family "Eukaryotic large subunit ribosomal RNA", at positions 38 to 963 of the family's 3401-position model. The record is from RNAcentral. Lineage: Eukaryota; Fungi; Ascomycota; Dothideomycetes; Hysteriales; Hysteriaceae.